This 71-nucleotide transfer RNA is filed under the name Cordylochernes scorpioides. RNAcentral describes it as "tRNA-Gly". The record is from RNAcentral. Lineage: Eukaryota; Metazoa; Arthropoda; Arachnida; Pseudoscorpiones; Chernetidae.
UGCAUUGGCCGGGAAUCGAACCAGGGCCGCCCGCGUGGCAGGCGAGCAUUCUACCACUGAACCACCGAUUC